Molecule: ribosomal RNA, 867 nt
Filed under: Triticum aestivum (bread wheat)
Lineage: Eukaryota; Viridiplantae; Streptophyta; Magnoliopsida; Poales; Poaceae
Description: partial small subunit ribosomal RNA
Source: RNAcentral
AUGGAUGAGGGAGCCGGCGAGCGAGCUGGCCGGCUACUGGUGGACGGCGGCGGCGGGGCGGCGCGCUGGCUGGAGGCGGUUGACGAGCGCGAGGGCGACGCCGGCGGCCUGCUCGACGGCGACGACGCGGCGCCUCACGUCCUCCCGGGGCGCGCCGGCGCCGGCGGAGGCGGCGAGGGAGUCGAGGCAGGUCUCGGCGUCGGUGAGCGCGGCGCUGGCCCAGGUCUGCACGUUGCUGAGGCACCACGCGAAGCGCGGGGACGAGGCGCGCCCCACCCGCCCGCCCAGCUCCGCCACCGACUGCUUCAGCAGGUCCGCCGCGUCGCGCACCGUCUCGGCGCAGUCCCCCAUGGCGCCGCCGCCCUUCCCCUUCCCCUUGGACGACGCGUAGGAGGAGGAGGAGGGGGACCCGAUGUAGGCGGAGCAGUUGCGCGCGGCGUCGGCGGCGGCCGCGAGCGCCGCCUGCGCGAGCCGCCGCGGGCUGAGGCCCACCGCGGGCGCGCGCGGCACCAGGCUCCGCUCGCACGCGCGCGGGUAGCUCGUGGCCCGGCAGCACCGGCGCACGAAGCCCGUCGCCUCCGCCGGGCUCACCUUCGGGGGGCUCGACGCCGACGCGACGCCGGCGGCCAGGAGGAGGAGGAGGCAGGGGAGGAGGACGAGGUGGCGCCGGCUCAUCUUGGCUUUGCCGGUGCCGGUGUUAGGAGAGGAUUCUUUGCUUGUGUGCGCGUGGACUGUGGAGUUGUGAGGGAAAGGUGUUGGCGUGGUGGUGUGGUCAGAGUCAAGUCGGGGUUGCUCGUCGGCGCCGGCGAAUCAAGUCGACGGGGAGUAGUGGGAAGGGCAGAAGAGCGAAUAUAUAAGAUUUGUUAG